Molecule: non-coding RNA, 305 nt
Organism: Danio rerio (zebrafish)
Lineage: Eukaryota; Metazoa; Chordata; Actinopteri; Cypriniformes; Danionidae
Source: RefSeq, a predicted model, not a curated record
AACAGGCUAUUUUCACAUGGAGAAUGGUUUCAGCUGUUGAAUUCACCUCAGAUCAGUGUUGCUGUAAUUCCCGAUCUAUGGAAAGAAUAAUUGAAUGAGCGAGCAACGCCACAACUACAGGACCUCUUCUUUCUCUUCUCAUAAUUUAAGUAAGUAUUGGGAGACUAACUCUGUUAACUCAAACCUGUUUUCCCUGUAUCUCUAAAUUUAUUUAAUUGUAUGUGAUUUUGGUAUAUGAUAUACUAUUAAAGCAUUAAAAUAAAGUAGGCUACAUAAUUACUCACUGGAGAUUUUAUAUGUAAUGA